UACGGGGGGGGCAAGCGUUGUUCGGAAUUACUGGGCGUAAAGGGCUCGUAGGCGGCCAACUAAGUCCGACGUGAAAUCCCCAGGCUUAACCUGGGAACUGCGUCGGAUACUGGUUGGCUUGAAUCCGGGAGAGGGAUGCGGAAUUCCAGGUGUAGCGGUGAAAUGCGUAGAUAUCUGGAGGAACACCGGUGGCGAAGGCGGCAUCCUGGACCAACACUGACACUGAGGAGCGAAAGCCAGGGGAGCAAACGGG
This 253-nucleotide ribosomal RNA is filed under the name uncultured bacterium. RNAcentral describes it as "partial 16S ribosomal RNA". It matches the Rfam family "Bacterial small subunit ribosomal RNA", at positions 524 to 776 of the family's 1533-position model. The record is from RNAcentral.